This 418-nucleotide ribosomal RNA is filed under the name uncultured bacterium. RNAcentral describes it as "bacterial SSU rRNA". It matches the Rfam family "Bacterial small subunit ribosomal RNA", at positions 362 to 772 of the family's 1533-position model. The record is from RNAcentral.
UAUUUCACAAUGGGCGCAAGCCUGAUGCAGCCAUGCCGCGUGUAUGAAGAAGGCCUUCGGGUUGUAAGGUACUUUCAGCGGGGAGGAAGGGAGUAAAGUCAAUACCUUUACUCAUUGACGCUACCCGCAGAAGAAGCACCGGCUAACUCCGUGCCAGCAGCCGCGGUAAUACGGAGGGUGCAAGCGUUAAGCGGAAUUACUGGGCGUAAAGCGCACGCAGGCGGUUUGUUAAGUCAGAUGUGAAAUCCCCGGGCUCAACCUGGGAACUGCAUCUGAUACUUGCAAGCUUGAGUCUCGUAGAGGGGGGUAGAAUUCCAGGUGUAGCGGUGAAAUGCGUAGAGAUCUGGAGGAAUACCGGUGGCGAAGGCGGCCCCCUGGACGAAGACUGACGCUCAGGUGCGAAAGCGUGGGGGGCAAA